This 680-nucleotide long non-coding RNA is filed under the name Pan troglodytes (chimpanzee). RNAcentral describes it as "long non-coding RNA NONPTRT015451". Lineage: Eukaryota; Metazoa; Chordata; Mammalia; Primates; Hominidae. The record is from RNAcentral.
GGGCACUAUGAUGAGGCCGGGUGAGCGCACAGUGGGACACUAUGAUGAGGCCAGGUGAGUGCACACUGGGACACUAUGAUGAGGCCAGGUGAGUGCACACUGGUGCACUAUGAUGAGGCUAGGUGAGUGCACACUCUGGCAGUAUGAUGAGGCUAGGUGAGUGCACACUGGGGCACUAUGAUGAGGCUAGGUGAGCGGACAUUGGGACACUGAUGAGGUCGGGUGAGCCCACACUGGGGCACUAUGAUGAGGCCGGGUGAGUGCACUCUGGGACACUAUGAUGAGGCCAGGUGAAUGCACACUUGGACACUAUGAUGAGGCCCAGUGAGCCCACAAUGGGACACUAUGAUGAGGCCGGGUGAGUGCACACUGGGACACUAUGAUGAGGCUAGGUGAGCGGACACUGGGACACUAUGAUGAGGCCGGGUGAGCCCACACUGGGGCACUAUGAUGAGGGUAGGUUAGUGCACACUGGGACACUAUGUUGAGACUAGUUGAGUGCACACUGGGACACUGUGAUGAGGCCGGGUGUGCCCACACUGGGACCCUAUGAUGAGGCUAGGUGAGCGCACACUGCGACACUAUGAUGAGGCCGGGUGAGCACACACUGGGACACUAUGAUGAGGCUAAGUGAGUUCACACUGGGACACUAUGAUGAGGCCAGGUGAGUGCACACUGGG